GACGAACGCUGGCGGCGUGCCUAAUACAUGCAAGUAGAACGCUGAAGAGAGGAGCUUGCUCUUCUUGGAUGAGUUGCGAACGGGUGAGUAACGCGUAGGUAACCUGCCUUGUAGCGGGGGAUAACUAUUGGAAACGAUAGCUAAUACCGCAUAACAAUGGAUGACACAUGUCAUUUAUUUGAAAGGGGCAAUUGCUCCACUACAAGAUGGACCUGCGUUGUAUUAGCUAGUAGGUGAGGUAACGGCUCACCUAGGCGACGAUACAUAGCCGACCUGAGAGGGUGAUCGGCCACACUGGGACUGAGACACGGCCCAGACUCCUACGGGAGGCAGCAGUAGGGAAUCUUCGGCAAUGGGGGCAACCCUGACCGAGCAACGCCGCGUGAGUGAAGAAGGUUUUCGGAUCGUAAAGCUCUGUUGUAAGUCAAGAACGAGUGUGAGAGUGGAAGAUUCACACUGUGACGGUAGCUUACCAGAAAGGGACGGCUAACUACGUGCCAGCAGCCGCGGUAAUACGUAGGUCCCGAGCGUUGUCCGGAUUUAUUGGGCGUAAAGCGAGCGCAGGCGGUUUGAUAAGUCUGAAGUUAAAGGCUGUGGCUCAACCAUAGUUCGCUUUGGAAACUGUCAAACUUGAGUGCAGAAGGGGAGAGUGGAAUUCCAUGUGUAGCGGUGAAAUGCGUAGAUAUAUGGAGGAACACCGGUGGCGAAAGCGGCUCUCUGGUCUGUAACUGACGCUGAGGCUCGAAAGCGUGGGGAGCGAACAGGAUUAGAUACCCUGGUAGUCCACGCCGUAAACGAUGAGUGCUAGGUGUUGGAUCCUUUCCGGGAUUCAGUGCCGCAGCUAACGCAUUAAGCACUCCGCCUGGGGAGUACGACCGCAAGGUUGAAACUCAAAGGAAUUGACGGGGGCCCGCACAAGCGGUGGAGCAUGUGGUUUAAUUCGAAGCAACGCGAAGAACCUUACCAGGUCUUGACAUCCCGAUGCUAUUUCUAGAGAUAGAAAGUUACUUCGGUACAUCGGUGACAGGUGGUGCAUGGUUGUCGUCAGCUCGUGUCGUGAGACGUUGGGUUAAGUCCCGCAACGAGCGCAACCCCUAUUGUUAGUUGCCAUCAUUCAGUUGGGCACUCUAGCGAGACUGCCGGUAAUAAACCGGAGGAAGGUGGGGAUGACGUCAAAUCAUCAUGCCCCUUAUGACCUGGGCUACACACGUGCUACAAUGGUUGGUACAACGAGUUGCGAGUCGGUGACGGCAAGCUAAUCUCUUAAAGCCAAUCUCAGUUCGGAUUGUAGGCUGCAACUCGCCUACAUGAAGUCGGAAUCGCUAGUAAUCGCGGAUCAGCACGCCGCGGUGAAUACGUUCCCGGGCCU
Molecule: ribosomal RNA, 1369 nt
Filed under: uncultured bacterium
Lineage: Bacteria
Description: bacterial SSU rRNA
Rfam family: Bacterial small subunit ribosomal RNA
Source: RNAcentral